GAGAAGGGACGAGCGACAAUCUUCUCCAUUACAAAUGUUGAUUAACAGAGACGAGCGACAAUCUUCUCUUCUCCAUUACAAGUGUUGAUUCAAAGGAUUUGUAAUUAAGACUUGUUCAUCAGAUUUGCAAGAGUUGAUUGAUUUGGCUUGGAUUUGCGUUACUUGGUCCUAUCAACACUGAUGACACCACAAGUGCUGCUGAUAUGGAUUAGAAGAUCAAGAUUCAAGACUACUGCAUCACUAGCUGCACUGCUAGUUGUUCUUUUUUUUUUCUUCAGAUUUUCUCAUUUUCAAGACUUAGUGUGUGUGUCUGUGGCUACUGCCUACUGCUAAUUGUUGUUUUUUCGGAUUUCCCAGACUUUAGUGUGUGUGAUUGUGAGAUUGUCAGUUUGUGUGCUACACUGCUACUGCCUACUGUUACUCAGGUUUUCAAGACUUUGUUUGUUUGGUUUGCUAGUAAUAUAGCUACUUAUUAAUUGUUGCUUUGUUCUAAGUAUGAGUUAUUACUUAAUAUAUUGAAAAAC
This is a long non-coding RNA of Papaver somniferum (opium poppy), 524 nucleotides long. RefSeq lists it as uncharacterized. The record is from RefSeq and is a predicted model, not a curated record. Lineage: Eukaryota; Viridiplantae; Streptophyta; Magnoliopsida; Ranunculales; Papaveraceae. The transcript is spliced from 3 exons.